CUACGGGCGGCACCAGUGGGGAAUAUUGGACAAUGGGGGAAACCCUGAUCCAGCAAUGCCGCGUGUGUGAAGAAGGCCUGCGGGUUGUAAAGCACUUUCGGUUGGGAGGACUGCUUCUAGCACUAAUAUUGUUGGAAGUUGACGUUACCUUCAGAAGAAGCACCGGCUAACUCCGUGCCAGCAGCCGCGGUAAUACGGAGGGUGCAAGCAUUAAUCGGAAUUACUGGGCGUAAAGCGCGCGUAGGCGGCUAGAUCAGUCGGGUGUGAAAGCCCCGGGCUUAACCUGGGAACUGCAUCCGAUACUGUCUAGCUUGAGUACAGGAGAGGAGAGUGGAAUUCCACAUGUAGCGGUGAAAUGCGUAGAUAUGUGGAGGGACACCAAUGGCGAAGGCAGCUCUCUGGCCUGAUACUGACGCUGAGGUGCGAAAGCGUGGGGAGCAAACAGGAUUAGAUACCCGCGUAGUC
RNAcentral lists this ribosomal RNA (465 nucleotides) under uncultured bacterium. Its description in RNAcentral is "partial 16S ribosomal RNA". It matches the Rfam family "Bacterial small subunit ribosomal RNA", at positions 339 to 795 of the family's 1533-position model. The record is from RNAcentral.